UACAGAGGAUGCAAGCGUUAUCCGGAAUGAUUGGGCGUAAAGCGUCUGUAGGUGGCUUUUUAAGUCCGCCGUCAAAUCCCAGGGCUCAACUCUGGACAGGCGGUGGAAACUACCAAGCUGGAGUACGGUAGGGGCAGAGGGAAUUUCCGGUGGAGCGGUGAAAUGCGUAGAUAUCUGGAGGAACACCGGUGGCGAAGGCGACAUCCUGGACCGGUAUUGACGCUGAGGCGCGAAGGCCAGGGGAGCAAACGGG
RNAcentral lists this ribosomal RNA (253 nucleotides) under uncultured bacterium. Its description in RNAcentral is "partial 16S ribosomal RNA". It matches the Rfam family "Bacterial small subunit ribosomal RNA", at positions 524 to 776 of the family's 1533-position model. The record is from RNAcentral.